Long non-coding RNA from Oncorhynchus tshawytscha (Chinook salmon), 401 nucleotides. NCBI's taxonomy places the organism in Eukaryota, Metazoa, Chordata, Actinopteri, Salmoniformes, Salmonidae. The record is from Ensembl.
AUCCAGUUAGAGUUCUGUGAGGUUCCGUAUUGUAGAUCUAGUUAGAGUUCUGUGAGGUUCCGUAUUGUAGAUCUAGUUAGAGUUCUGUGGGGUUCCGUAUUGUAGAUCUAGUUAGAGUUCUGUAGGGUUCCGUAUUGUAGAUCUAGUUAGAGUUCUGUGAGGUUCCGUAUUGUAGAUCUAGUUAGUGUUCUGUGAGGUUCAGUAUUGUAGACCUACUUAGAGUUCUGUGAGGUUCAGUAUUGUAGAUCUAGUUAGAGUUCUGUGAGGUUCAGUAUUGUAGACCUACUUAGAGUUCUGUGAGGUUCAGUAUUGUAGAUCUAGUUAGAGUUCUGUGAGGUUCAGUAUUGUAGAAAGAAGACCAAUUUAGAGGACAUUUUGGAGGCUGUGCUUGUACUGGAUGC